This 72-nucleotide transfer RNA is filed under the name Bacteroidales bacterium. Its description in RNAcentral is "tRNA-Met". It matches the Rfam family "tRNA". From Rfam's summary of the family: Transfer RNA (tRNA) molecules are approximately 80 nucleotides in length. Their secondary structure includes four short double-helical elements and three loops (D, anti-codon, and T loops). Lineage: Bacteria; Pseudomonadati; Bacteroidota; Bacteroidia; Bacteroidales. RNAcentral also lists the same sequence under 1 other name. The record is from RNAcentral.
UGCGGGGUGGAGCAGUGGCAGCUCGUUGGGCUCAUAACCCAAAGGUCGGAGGUUCGAAUCCUCCCCCCGCUA